CCCCCGCCUCUUCUACUUAGCAAGAAAAAGCCCUAGGUCCCUCAUCUUCAUCUUCAGUAUCAUCAAACAUCUCGUUCAUCCUCUGCAUUAUUUCCAUCGUUCUUCCCUCUCCUCACUGAUCAAUACCCAAAAAACCCUAAUAUCAUAUCCACUCCUCUUUUCUCGCACAAAAAAAAAUCCCAAAACAUCACCAAAUACAAAAUUCCACAAAAUCGUUGUGACCAUUUUUGCUAGGGCUUUUUUCAAGAACAAAAACAAUCUCUCAUCUCUCUUAGCUCUGAAACAAUGGACGAUUCACCUUGCUUCGCCUUUGGUCACUUCUCCUCCAGCUACGUCAGACCUUCCUCAUUACAAAUCGACCAACGAUAAGCUAAUACUUAUAACAGAAUCGUUUCACUCUCAAUUGGGUGUGCGACUCCUCCAUCGCACUGAUGACUACGAAUGUGACUCUUCUACCACACCUGUGAUUGCGUCCCAUCUCACAUCCCUGGCCGCUACCUUAAUAGGUUUAUCUAUUCAAUUAGAUUUUUCUUUUUAGUUAGAAAUCAAUUUCGUCCCCUCCCCAGCUCUUCAUCUCUUCACUAAAACCGUUGUUAUCUAUCCACUAAAAUCUUCACGGUUUCUUCAAUUUCACUCCAAGGGUUAUUUGAUAGCUCUUGUAUGGUUUAUUCCCUAUACUGAAUCGAGAGUCAAAACCAUUGUGGUGGUUGUGGCGGAAUCAAAAUGCAGGAUUGAACCAUUGUAGCAGAGAGAUAGGGUUUCUGGAAUUUUAUCAUGAUAUGAAACCCAUAGUUUCGAUUGAAUGAGAAGCAGGUCCGAUUCUUCUCUUUCGGUUUAACAAAGGUAUGAUGUGCUUAUAAUCGUUCAUCUACAUUCUCUCCAGCGACACUCGCUACCUUUUCCUCUGUUUCUUCCUCUAACACCACUGAUUUAGGGCAAAAUCUCCACCAUCUUUAGUUCAUCCUCAGUAAUAUGGAUUUGUAAUCUCUGAUUUUGGAAGGGAGAGAUAGGGUUUCUAGAAUUUUAUCAUGAUAUGAAACCCAAUAACUAAAGUGAUGAGAAGUCAUGGGUAUUUUGGACCAUACGAGUCAAAGAUAUUGGAAGCGUCAUGACUUAUAGCUUUGGUGAAGAGGGCCCUGCCAUUGUGCAAUUGCAAAAAUGGGAAUCUUCUCGAUUGCUAGCAAACCUGGCACAGUUCCGUGAAGCUUUCCUUUCCCCAAUCAGGGAACUUAUAUUAUUGCUUUCAUAUCACCAUGGAGGGUUACUUCUUCCUCUAGUCAAAGGUGGAGCUGUAAGUAGUAUUGUAAGCUAUCCCAUGCUUUCUGAUAUAAAUUCACUUGCUUGGGGUAUAUGUGAAGAUUCAAAUAGUCAACAUAAGGGGGCUUUAUUUAGACAUUAUGACCCUUUCAAUCGACAAUGUGCAAGUGUAAAACUAAACUUUUCUUCUUUGUGACAGGUCUUGUAUUACCUCAUACGAGUGGAGUCAUUUACCACUCUAUUAAUUCAAUUACAAGUUGGAAAGUUUGAUCAUGCAGACAGGAUGUUUUUAGAUAUUCCUGCUAUUUGGAAUGAUGUUAUGGAGGACAUGAGUGACGUGAAGGAACUGGUUCUUGAGGUGUUUUACCUUCCAGAGAUAUUAUUAAUUGAUUCUGGUACCACACAACUUGGAGAUAAGCUAGAUUGUGUUAAGCUUCCUCCUUGGCCCAAAAACCCUGUUGACUUUGUGCAUAAGCAUCACAUGGCUCUUGAGAGUGAGCAUGUCUCUGUACAUUUACAUGAAUGGAUAGAUCAUUAAUAUUCUAAUAUCGGUAUAAGCAGCGAGGAAAAGAAGCUAUUUCAGCAAAUAAUGUAUAAACAUCACAUAUGAAGGGACUGUAGAUAUAGAUAAAAUCACUAAUCUAGUAAAGUUAUUAAUGGCUGCAGUUGAUGAGCAUGGUAUAGUUUAUGUAGUUCGUGGUAGUGACCAUAUUCCAGGCAUAAAUAACUCAGUUGAGAAGUGUCUACCACGGUUUCAACAAUUAAGGUACUAUACUUUGGUUGGGUGGGAGGUUGGAGGUGCUGAUAUCAGCCACCAGAGGCUUCAUAAUAAACUUUUUCCAGUUAUGCUAACAAUUGGAGUAGGGCAAUGGCUAAUUGCUGAUAGAUUAGAAUGUUUCUACUCCUAAGGUGAACAUCACUUUUUGUAGCUCAAUUAACCAUUUCUUGAUAAAUAUAUCUCUCUACCCACAUAUGUCAUUUUUUGUAUCAUCUUUGCCAGUGAAGUUUUAUUCUGAACAUUGAAACAAUGAUGAGCUGAAUAGGCCAUGUACAGUGACUUAGUUCUGAAAUUUAGUCUUAUGCCUGCCAUGUGUUUGACAUAUUGUCUCUGAGAGAUGAAGAUGCUUGAAAAAGUCUAAAGGUGACUUUUGAAAAUAACCAUUACCCAAAAAAUGAUCCAAUAAACGGAUUUUUUGAAAAAGGUCCUAUAGUACUUCAAGUAAAUUACAACGAAGACUACAUUUGACUCGAGAGAAUCAUAUUCCAAUUGUUGGAGGUGUUAGCAGCCAAAGAUGCUAUUGCAGUGUUGCAACCCCUGAACCUGUUAUUUCAGAAACUUCCUCCACCUCUAUAAAAAAGAGAAUUGUGUCUGGUGUCAAGCCAACAGGAUUUAUACACCAUGGGAAUUAUCUUGGUGCAAUAAAAAAUUAGGUAUCACUACAGGAUAAGUAUGAGACAUUAUUCUUUAUUGUGGAUCUCCAUGCAGUAUGUGCACUAAGCAUUUUAGGACAUCUGAUUUAUGCAUACUAAUCAUAAUUUUAUAUAUGCAUCACUUUGUUCCAUUUGUUUUUGUAACAUUAACACAUAUAACUCUACCUUAUGAUGUCCAACAACUGUCUAAAGCAACUAAAGAAACCGCAACACUUUAUUUGGCAUGUGGUGUUGACACCUCAAAGGUCUUUUUUUAAAAAUAAUUUAAUAAUAAUAAUUUAAUGUUGCAAACUGAAUUUACAAUGUGUGUAUACAAACAGGCUUUUGUAUUUGUUCAAUCUCAUGUUCGUGCUCAUGUAGAGCUGAUGUGGCUGCUCAGUGCUACCACACCAAUCUGUUGGCUCAACGGAAUGAUUUAGUUCAAAGAGAAAUCGUGUAAGGCGGGGAUGAAAAUGUUGGGGUUGGACUUUUGACCUAUCCGGUGUUGAUGGCUUCUGAUAUUCUUCUUUAUCAGGUAACCUUCUCAACAACAGCAUUCUACUUAAGCAGGUGAGUAAUCAAGAUUAAAGGAGACUUGUAAUCAUGUUUGGCAUUCCUUUCCAGUAAGAAACAGAGUUGUAUGAUUAUUUGUUAGUUUUAUAGCAAUGUAUAACCCAUGUUAGCAAUUUAUUAUUUUUGUUUAACAUUUGAAUGAUUCUUUGUAUGACAUUAUAAUUUGUGCAACUUAUUUUA
This is a non-coding RNA of Lactuca sativa (garden lettuce), 3420 nucleotides long. The record is from RefSeq and is a predicted model, not a curated record. Lineage: Eukaryota; Viridiplantae; Streptophyta; Magnoliopsida; Asterales; Asteraceae.